RNAcentral lists this ribosomal RNA (511 nucleotides) under uncultured bacterium. RNAcentral describes it as "bacterial SSU rRNA". It matches the Rfam family "Bacterial small subunit ribosomal RNA", at positions 395 to 899 of the family's 1533-position model. The record is from RNAcentral.
UGCCGCGUGAGUGAAGAAGGCCUUCGGGUUGUAAAGCUCUUUCGGCCGGAACGAAAUCGCGUACGUGAAUAACGUGCGUGGAUGACGGUACUGGAAGAAGAAGCACCGGCUAACUACGUGCCAGCAGCCGCGGUAAUACGUAGGGUGCGAGCGUUAAUCGGAAUUACUGGGCGUAAAGCGUGCGCAGGCGGUUCUGCAAGUCAGAUGUGAAAUCCCCGGGCUUAACCUGGGAACUGCGUUUGAAACUACGGAGCUAGAGUACGGCAGAGGGGGGUGGAAUUCCACGUGUAGCAGUGAAAUGCGUAGAUAUGUGGAGGAACACCGAUGGCGAAGGCAGCCCCCUGGGCCGAUACUGACGCUCAGGCACGAAAGCGUGGGGAGCAAACAGGAUUAGAUACCCUGGUAGUCCACGCCCUAAACUAUGUCAACUAGUUGUCGGGGAAGCAAUUCCUUGGUAACGAAGCUAACGCGUGAAGUUGACCGCCUGGGGAGUACGGUCGCAAGAUUAAAA